This 492-nucleotide ribosomal RNA is filed under the name uncultured bacterium. RNAcentral's name for it is "partial 16S ribosomal RNA". It matches the Rfam family "Bacterial small subunit ribosomal RNA", at positions 29 to 507 of the family's 1533-position model. The record is from RNAcentral.
AGUGAACGCUGGCGGUAGGCCUAACACAUGCAAGUCGAACGACAGCAUAGUAAGAUUUUGCUCUUACGGUUGGCGAGUGGCGGAUGGGUGAGAAAUGCAUAGGCAUCUACUUUUUCGUGGGGGAUUACGGAAGGCAGCGUACACUACUAACGAAUAUGUCCAACGGCUGAAUGCAGGGGUUAUUAGGACCUUUCGCGUUUCUAUGAGCUGGUGCCGCAUUAGCUAGUUGGCUGGGUAACGGCCUACCAAGGCAACGAUCCGUAGCUGGUCUGAGAGGAUGAUCGGCCACACUGGAACUGAGACACGGUCCAGACUCCUACGGGAGGCAGCAGUAGGGAAUAUUGCGCAAUGGGCGCAAGCCUGACCGAGCCAUGCCGCGUGAGUGAUGAAGGCCUUCGGAUCGUAAAACUCUGUUAUUAGGGAAGAAAAGCAGUGUAAUAAAACCCCGAUGUUCUGACGGUACCCAAUGAGUAAGCAACGGCUAACUUCGUG